AAGAAAUUUAAUAAUUUUGAAAAUGGAUUUUUUUGUUUUGGCAAGAGCAUGAGAGCUUUUACUGGGCAAGAAGACAAGAGAUGGAGAGUCCAGCCGGGCCUGCGCUUAAGUGCGCGGUCUUGCUAGGCUUGUAAGUUUCUUUCUUGCUAUUCCAAACGGUGAGAGAUUUCUGUGCUUUUGUUAUAGGACAAUUAAAACCGUUUCAAUACAACACACUGUGGAGUUUUCAUAUCUUUGCAACUUUUUCUUUGGGCAUUCGAGCAAUCGGGGCCCAGAGGUAACAAACACAAACAAUUUUAUCUAUUCAUUAAAUUUUUGUCAAAAACAAGAAUUUUCGUAACUGGAAAUUUUAAAAUAUUAAAAACUUUCAACAACGGAUCUCUUGGUUCUCGCAUCGAUGAAGAACGCAGCGAAAUGCGAUACGUAAUGUGAAUUGCAGAAUUCCGUGAAUCAUCGAAUCUUUGAACGCACAUUGCGCCCCUUGGUAUUCCAGGGGGCAUGCCUGUUUGAGCGUCAUUUCCUUCUCAAACAUUCUGUUUGGUAGUGAGUGAUACUCUUUGGAGUUAACUUGAAAUUGCUGGCCUUUUCAUUGGAUGUUUUUUUUCCAAAGAGAGGUUUCUCUGCGUGCUUGAGGUAUAAUGCAAGUACGGUCGUUUUAGGUUUUACCAACUGCGGCUAAUCUUUUUUUAUACUGAGCGUAUUGGAACGUUAUCGAUAAGAAGAGAGCGUCUAGGCGAACAAUGUUCUUAAAGU
Molecule: unclassified non-coding RNA, 753 nt
Filed under: Saccharomyces cerevisiae (brewer's yeast)
Lineage: Eukaryota; Fungi; Ascomycota; Saccharomycetes; Saccharomycetales; Saccharomycetaceae
Description: partial contains ITS1, 5.8S rRNA, ITS2
Rfam family: 5.8S ribosomal RNA (bases 363-516)
Source: RNAcentral